AACGGCUCAGUAACACGUCGAUAAUCUGCCCUUAGAUUGAGGAUACCCUUGGGAAACUAAGGUUAAAACUCAAUAGUAAAAGAAUUCUGGAAUGAAUCUUUUGUUAAACGCAAGGUCUAAGGAUGAGUCGGCGGCGGAUUAGGCAGUUGGCGGUGUAACGGACCACCAAACCUAAGAUCCGUAGGGGCCCUGAGAGGGGUAGCCCCGAGAGGGACACUGAAAUACUGGUCCCAGCUCCACGGAGUGCAGCAGGCGCGAAACCUCCACAAUGCGCGAAAGCGUGAUGGGGGGAUCCCGAGUGCUUAUGCUUAUUGCAUAAGCUUUUGCCAAGAGUAAACAUCUUGGAGAAUAAGUGGUGGGUAAGACCGGUGCCAGCAGCCGCGGUAACCCCGGCGCCACGAGUGGCAAUCCUGUAUUUGGCCUAAAGCAUUCGUAGCCGGUUUAAAAAAUCCUUUGUGAAAUUGUUGAACUCAAUACAACAGCGUGCAGGGGACACUUUUAGACUAGAGACUGGGAGGAGUUAGGGGUAUUUCUAGGGGAACGGUUAAAUGUUAUAAUCCUAGAAAGACCACCUGUGGCGAAGGCGCCUAACUAGAACAGUUCUGACGGUGAGGGAUGGAAGCUAGGGGAGCGAUCCGGAUUAGAUACCCGAGUAGUCCUAGCCGUAAACUCUGUGAGCUGGGUGUCGCAUAUUCUACGUGAAUGUGCGGUGUCGAAACGAAGGUGUUAAGCUCACCGC
This 739-nucleotide ribosomal RNA is filed under the name uncultured euryarchaeote. RNAcentral's name for it is "bacterial SSU rRNA". It matches the Rfam family "Archaeal small subunit ribosomal RNA", at positions 83 to 827 of the family's 1478-position model. The record is from RNAcentral. Lineage: Archaea; Methanobacteriati; Methanobacteriota.